RNAcentral lists this long non-coding RNA (435 nucleotides) under Trifolium pratense (red clover). Its description in RNAcentral is "long non-coding RNA (TPRA_LNC005476)". Lineage: Eukaryota; Viridiplantae; Streptophyta; Magnoliopsida; Fabales; Fabaceae. The record is from RNAcentral.
AUUUGGCACAACACAAUUUUGCCUAGCGAAUUCAAGUCAAGUUGAAGGCAUGUCGCUGAGCAGCUGGCAAUUGAUUCAUAGUGAGGGAAAUUCAAAUUCACUUGGUGAAUUGUUAUUUUCGCUUAGCAAAAUAUGCUUUAUCAGAUUUAAUAUUUUGAAGCACUCAUAACAUAAAACCAUGACAUUCUUACGUUAGAUAGAAAACAGGGAGAAAAAUACUAGGAGACAUAGAGUGAUCAAGGGAAAACACAGGAAUCAAUUUCAUCAUCUUUUCAUCUUUUUUAGUUAUUCUCUCUGAUAUUGGAAUUAUGUUUUUUUUUUUUGAUAAAAUGAUAUUGGAAUUAUGUUUAGUUGGCUAUGAUUCUCUUGUAAACUUUUAAUCUCUAAUUGCUUAUAUAUAAUUUCUAUUACGUUAUGUUGAUGAUUUAUUUCUGC